GGCCGAUGACGAAAACAGGUGUUCCGAGCUAGUCUGGCGGCUGGUGGUGACGAACCCUAUGAGUGCCGAGGCC
This 73-nucleotide small nucleolar RNA is filed under the name Haladaptatus litoreus. Lineage: Archaea; Methanobacteriati; Methanobacteriota; Halobacteria; Halobacteriales; Haladaptataceae. The record is from RNAcentral.